Molecule: ribosomal RNA, 858 nt
Filed under: uncultured fungus
Lineage: Eukaryota; Fungi
Description: bacterial SSU rRNA
Rfam family: Eukaryotic small subunit ribosomal RNA (bases 1-345)
Source: RNAcentral
GUCUGUGAUGCCCUUAGAUGUUUUGGGCUGCACGCGUGAUACACUGGCCGAGACAGCGAGUUGGUGCGCCGAAAGCCGCGCCAAAACCGGAAUCUCGGCCGUGUUUGGGAUAGACCAUUGGAAUUUGGUCUUGAACGAGGAAUUCUUAGUAAGCGUGCUUCACCAUAGUGCGUUGAUUACGUCCCUGCUUUUUGUACACACCGCCCGUCGCUGUUUCCGAUUGAAUGGCUUAGUGAGGUGUCUGGAUAGACCUCUCGAGGACUAGAAAGGCGACAAACUUGGUUAUUUAGAGGAAGCAAAAGUCGUAACAAGGUACCCGUAGGUGAACCUGCGGGUGGAUCAUUAGGAGUGUUCUGACAGCAUAGAGCUGCCGGUUGUGUGCGACAACCGCGGCGCGUCCGCUCGAGCAUAUGGAGCAUUUUGGAAGAGUACAACUGCCAGCAAGGGAUCAUUUGGCUCUCGCAACGAUGAAGAACGCAGCGAGGUGCGAAACGUGGCGCGACACGCACUCUGUGAGACGUCGAAUCUUUGAACGCAGCAUGCGCCCGCGGAGCAAUCUGCGGGCAUGUCUGCCUGGGUGUUUUGGUUCGUCCUGCGAGAAGGCUCGCGGGACUGUUGCCUUGAGCGUGGUGCGCUGUAUCAGCGUGAAUCUCUUGCGGGUGGAGUGGAGUGGAAGGGUUGUGUGUUGUGUGAUUGAUCGAUGGUCUGAAGAUCGGUGGUCUGACGAUUCAGGUCGGAUAGGUUGACGAUCGCUAGGGCUGACGAUUUAAGUCUCACACACUAUAUCAAACGACACGCCCACCAGCACAAAUCAUCAAACACAGCCCCAGGUCAGAUAAGACUACCCGCUGGACUUAA